Molecule: unclassified non-coding RNA, 310 nt
Filed under: uncultured fungus
Lineage: Eukaryota; Fungi
Description: partial contains small subunit ribosomal RNA, internal transcribed spacer 1, and 5.8S ribosomal RNA
Rfam family: Eukaryotic small subunit ribosomal RNA (bases 1-73)
Source: RNAcentral
GCAAACUUGGUCAUUUAGAGGAAGUAAAAGUCGUAACAAGGUUUCCGUAGGUGAACCUGCGGAAGGAUCAUUAACGAAUGUACUCCCGGGGGGUUGUGCUGGCGCUCUCGGGCGCAUGUGCACGCCUGCCGAGGUAUGUCUCCUCACACCUGUGCACGAAGCCCGUCGGACGUUCAAGGUGGCUCGCGCCUCCUGUCCGACGCUUUCACACCAGCUUAGAAUGUACGUCGAAUGCUUAUUGCGCACGCGCAACCUAAAUACAACUUUUAACAACGGAUCUCUUGGUUCUCGCAUCGAUGAAGAACGCAGC